CGGGGAGGUAGUGACGAAAAAUAACGAUACGGGACUCAUCCGAGGCCCCGUAAUCGGAAUGAGUACACUUUAAAUCCUUUAACGAGGACCAAUUGGAGGGCAAGUCUGGUGCCAGCAGCCGCGGUAAUUCCAGCUCCAAUAGCGUAUAUUAAAGUUGUUGCGGUUAAAAAGCUCGUAGUUGAAUCUGUGUGUCACAGUGUCGGUUCACCGCUCGCGGUGUUUAACUGGCAUUAUGUGGUACGUCCUACCGGUGGGCUCAGCACCCGUUCACGCGGGUGCGGUCCAACGAAUUACCCAUCGCGGUGCUCUUCAUUGAGUGUCGAGGUGGGCCGGUACGUUUACUUUGAACAAAUUAGAGUGCUCAAAGCAGGCUGCUCUCGCCUGAAUACUCUGUGCAUGGAAUAAUGGAAUAGGACCUCGGUUCUAUUUUGUUGGUUUUCGGAACCCCGAGGUAAUGAUUAAUAGGGACAGAUGGGGGCAUUCGUAUUGCGACGUUAGAGGUGAAAUUCUUGGAUCGUCGCAAGACGGACUAAAGCGAAAGCAUUUGCCAAAAAUGUUUUCAUUAAUCAAGAACGAAAGUUAGAGGUUCGAAGGCGAUCAGAUACCGCCCUAGUUCUAACCAUAAACGAUGCCAGCUAGCGAUCCGCCGAAGUUCCUCCGAUGACUCGGCGGGCAGCUUCCGGGAAACCAAAGCUUUUGGGUUCCGGGGGAAGUAUGGUUGCAAAGCUGAAACUUAAAGGAAUUGACGGAAGGGCACCACCAGGAGUGGAGCCUGCGG
Molecule: ribosomal RNA, 778 nt
Filed under: Ceratina sp. JS-2010
Lineage: Eukaryota; Metazoa; Arthropoda; Insecta; Hymenoptera; Apidae
Description: SSU rRNA
Rfam family: Eukaryotic small subunit ribosomal RNA
Source: RNAcentral